This 70-nucleotide transfer RNA is filed under the name Lygodactylus capensis (Cape dwarf gecko). RNAcentral describes it as "tRNA-Tyr". Lineage: Eukaryota; Metazoa; Chordata; Lepidosauria; Squamata; Gekkonidae. The record is from RNAcentral.
GGUAGUGUGACCGAGCUUACGCGGUGAGUUGUAUCCUCACCUACUGGUGAUGUACCCACGCUACCGAGCC